This 468-nucleotide ribosomal RNA is filed under the name uncultured bacterium. RNAcentral's name for it is "partial 16S ribosomal RNA". It matches the Rfam family "Bacterial small subunit ribosomal RNA", at positions 28 to 507 of the family's 1533-position model. The record is from RNAcentral.
GACGAACGCUGGCGGCGUGCUUAACACAUGCAAGUCGAACGGAAAGGCCCUGCUUUUGUGGGGUGCUCGAGUGGAGAAAGGGUGAGUAAAAAGUGAGUAACCUGCCCUUGACUUUGGGAUAACUUCAGGAAAAUGGGGCUCAUACAGGAUAGGAGCUCCUGCAGCAUGGUGGGGGUGGGAAAGUUUCGGCGGUUGGGGAUGGACUCGCGGCUUAUCAGCUUGUUGGUGGGGUAGUGGCUUAACAAGGCUUUGACGGGUAGCCGGCCUGAGAGGGUGACCGGCCACAUUGGGACUGAGGUACGGCCCAGACUCCUACGGGAGGCAGCAGUGGGGAAUAGUGCACAAUGGGCGGAAGCCUGAUGCAGCAACGCCGCGUGCGGGAUGACGGCCUUCGGGUUGUAAACCGCUUUCGCCUGUGACGAAGCGUGAGUGACGGUAAUGGGUAAAGAAGCACCGGCUAACUACGUG